AGCUGCUGCGUACCUAGCCUGAUCCUAACAUAACCUAACCUAACCUAAUCUGACUCGAAGCUGGCUGUCAUUCGGCGAGUGUCCAUCCUUCCCAAUUUUACUUCCAAUAAAGAUUGCGAUUCAAAAUUAAUGAGUUGUACAUAAAAGAGGACGUGUCGUCAAAAAGAAAAUUAUGAAGUGUUGAAAUGGCCACUGCAUGCAGGAAUAUACUAAGGGGACAUUCAAUCAAGAACUUGAAUCGUUACAGCCAAGUUUUAGUCGCUAAAUAUGGUCAUCUGAGCGAGAACCCAACGGCUGGAAUUAUCAUUAUCGGAGAUGAGAUAUUGAAAGCCCAAGUCAAAGACACCAACUCCAAUUACAUAUGUAGGCUAUUGUAUAACUGUGGAGUUAAAGUGAAAAAAAUUUCAGUAGUUAGUGACGAGGUUGACCGCAUUGCAGAGGAGAUGGUUAAUUUUUCCGAGAAAUACACGUAUGUUAUAACGUCUGGCGGAAUUGGGCCGACACACGACGAUGUUACCUUUGAAGCACUUGCAAAGGCAUUCAACGACUCGCUGCACCAUCAUCCGAAACUUGUCGAAGUUGUGAAAACGUUUUCUUCCUCCCAAGACAUCUCUUCUCCUGGGUAUAAACUGGCUUAUAUACCUAUGUCCGCCUCACUGACGUUUGGUAAAAGUCAAGAAACUGGUGAAAAAUUGUUUUACCCGUGUGUCAGCGUAAAAAAUGUACAUGUUUUUCCUGGCUCCCCAAUUUUCUUGCAUAAAUCGUUUGGGAACGUGUACAAGGAAUUAUUCGCGGCUGGUAGAAAUUUCGUUACCAAGGAAAUAUACCUUGGAGUUAGGGAAGAGCUGUUUGCCGAUGCCUUGUCUGCCGUCUCCAAAGAAUUUUCCAAUGUCACAUUUGGCUCUUACCCAACCUCAAAUCACAGCUACUAUCAUGCACGGGUUACUGUGGAGAGCAGCAGCGAAGAUGAUACCAAUAAAGCAGUGGCAAGGUUCAGAGAUUUGGCCCCUGAGAAUGCAAUCGUGAAUUAUGACAAUGAUCCGUUGACAGAUGCUCUAAGAAAAUUCAAGGCAUUCGUCGCUGUUGACAAGCAAGGUUCAAUCUACGAAGCGACCUUAACAACUCUCAAGGAAAUAUACAGCAAUCCCUCAAAUGUAGCUGUCUGCUUUGAUGGUAGCAUAGAAAGCACGGUGUUGCUCCAUCUCGUACACGUCAAUAAUCUACUCGGAGCAAAGGCCAAGCUUCAGGCUGUUCAUUUGAAACUCGAAAAUCCCGUCGCGGAUGUUGACGAAUUCAUUAAAGAGACCGUAGUCAGGUAUGAUGUUAAUUUACAUCAUUUGGAUGGCUCUGCAAAGGCAGCUAUUGAAAACCUUGCUGUACUAAGGCCAGAAAUCGAAACUCUGUUGCUCGGCCUGAAAGGAGACAAGCUCGAAGGAGGGCUGUGGCACGAAUUUGCUAAAAGUGGAAGUAUCGGUCAGAUUCGCUUAAUCUCCCCACUGACAAAGUGGAGCUAUAAAGACGUGUGGAAUUUCGCUCGAUCUCUGAGUUUGCCUUACUGCAAACUUUAUGACAGAGGAUACACAUCGCUGGGUAGUCAGACGGACACAGAACCAAACCCGAAUUUGUUGAAAGGGAAGAUUGGGAAACAGAUGGUGUAUCAUCCCGCUCACAUGCUGGCAGACGUGAAGUUGGAAAGAGCCGGUAGGAUCCCGCAAGAUCACCCCGAAUUGUAAAGGAUCUGAUGUUUCCGGACAUUUUUUGUUUAAACUUUGGAUUCCGAGUUUCAUGAGAUCCCCAGUCAUGUGUACGAUGCUUGGCAGUGGUUAAAAUAAGAAUGACAUCACGGAAAACGGAUCGAAGCUUAUUCCGAACAACUUUGACGAGUAUUUCGCGACUGGCUGAUUCAUCCAAGGAGGAAUACGACCAUAUUCCGCAGGAUAAAUCUUGUGCAGAGACCGCAGUGAGCCAGCAAAG
RNAcentral lists this unclassified non-coding RNA (1974 nucleotides) under Neodiprion pinetum (white pine sawfly). RNAcentral's name for it is "fAD synthase-like, transcript variant X2". Lineage: Eukaryota; Metazoa; Arthropoda; Insecta; Hymenoptera; Diprionidae. The record is from RNAcentral.